This 1086-nucleotide long non-coding RNA is filed under the name Canis lupus familiaris (dog). RNAcentral's name for it is "lncRNA (ENSCAFG00030008152.1)". The record is from RNAcentral. Lineage: Eukaryota; Metazoa; Chordata; Mammalia; Carnivora; Canidae.
AUGCCCCCGCGGGCCGGCGGGCGGGAGGGAGGCGCCCCCGGGGACUCCGCGCGGCCGCCCGGUCAAGGGCGCAGGGUCGGGGCCGGCGCCCCCCGCCCGGCUCCCCGCACAAAAUGGAGCCGGCCGGGACGCCGCCGGGACGCGGCCGGGACGGGCCUGACGGUGCCCCGGCGCCCCCUCCUCGGCCUCGGGCCGGAGCUCGGCGGCGGCGGGCAGGAGGCGGCCUGGCCCGCGUCCCGCCGCUCCUCGGCCCGGCGCACAAAGAGCCGCUCCCCGGCCGGGCCCGCAGCGGGAGCGGCCUCGCAGGCGCCGGCCCGGCCCGGCCCCGGCCCCGGCCCCGGCCCCGGCCCCGGGCGGGAGGGCGCGCGGGAGGGAGGCGAGUUGCCCCGGCCGCGGCGGCGUUGGCGGCGGGGACGGCGCCGGGAGGAGACGGACAUUUCAUUCGAGCUAAAGUGGAGUCGGUUUAGGAGCGAUCAUUGGCCGAAGCGAGACACAAACCUCCAAUGCAGCCCUGGUUGGCUCCCGUCUCCAAUCGGCUGUUUGGUUGGACAGAAAAUGGCUGCGAAGGAACCAGUCCCAGCGCGGAGCUCCGCUUCCAGGACUCGGCCUCCCCUCCCUCCGCCGCGGGCCGCUUCCCUCGGCGCGACACCCUCCCUCCGCGCCUCCCGCGAGCCCGCCCGCCGCGGCCCCGCCCCCAGGCCCCGCCCCCAGGCCCCGCCCCCAGGCCCCGCCCCCAGGCCCCGCCCCCAGGCCCCGCCCCCAGGCCCCGCCCCCAGGCCCCGCCCCGCCCCCGCCGGGUGUGCUGAGCUACUGCAGUGGCUGGAGCCUGCAGAGCGGGGAGCGGGGAGCCGGGAGCGGGCUGCGGGCAGCGGCGGGCGGGUCCUGCAGCGGCUGCUCGGCGGGGGCUCCUCGGGGCCGGGACUCCGGCACGCUCGUGAGGCCUGUGCGGGCUUUCAACCCCCGGUGUUUGCCCGGGCCCGGGCGAAGCGUGAUUUCUCAGGCUUCCCUCCCUUUUCAGGCCCCUCCCUCCCCCACGGAGAGCGUCCGGCCACGGGAGCGCAGCCUGCCUGCGCCUCGGCUCUUUAG